GCCAGCGUAGCCUUGAAAAUGCCAAGAACGGAUUCAAAAUCCGCCGCUUAAUAGGCGUGUCGGUUCGAGUCCGACCACCGGCACCA
Molecule: transfer RNA, 86 nt
Filed under: Cobetia crustatorum
Lineage: Bacteria; Pseudomonadati; Pseudomonadota; Gammaproteobacteria; Oceanospirillales; Halomonadaceae
Description: tRNA-Leu
Rfam family: tRNA
About the family: Transfer RNA (tRNA) molecules are approximately 80 nucleotides in length. Their secondary structure includes four short double-helical elements and three loops (D, anti-codon, and T loops). Further hydrogen bonds mediate the characteristic L-shaped molecular structure. tRNAs have two regions of fundamental functional importance: the anti-codon, which is responsible for specific mRNA codon recognition, and the 3' end, to which the tRNAs corresponding amino acid is attached (by aminoacyl-tRNA synthetases). tRNAs cope with the degeneracy of the genetic code in two manners: having more than one tRNA (with a specific anti-codon) for a particular amino acid; and 'wobble' base-pairing, i.e. permitting non-standard base-pairing at the 3rd anti-codon position.
Source: RNAcentral